UAAAAAGCUCGUAGUUGGAUCUGUGUCUCGGACGGUCGGUUCGCCGCUCGCGCGGCGUUUCAACUGACCGGUCCGGACGUCCUGCCGGAGGGCCGCUCGCGUUUCGGCGCGGGCGCGUCCGUAAUCCUUCCGGGCUGCCCUUAACUGGGCGGCCCGGCGGGCCGGCCUUUUUACUUUGAACAAAUUUGAGUGCUCAAAGCAGGCUCCCCUUCGCCUGAAAACCGAGUGCAUGGAAUAAUGGAAUAGGACCUCUUUUCUAUUUUGUUGGCUUUUUCUGAAACGGAGGUAAUGAUUAAUAGGGACAGACGGGGGCAUUCGUAUUGCGACGUUAGAGGUGAAAUUCUUGGAUCGUCGCAAGACGGACUGGUGCGAAAGCGUUUGCCAAGAAUGUUUUCGCUAAUCAAGAACGAAAGUUAGAGGUUCGAAGGCGAUCAGAUACCGCCCUAGUUCUAACCAUAAACGAUGCCAGCCAGCGAUGCGCCGAUGUUCCUCCGAUGACUCGGCGCGCAACUUCCGGGAAACCAAAGCUUUUGGGUUCCGGGG
This 543-nucleotide ribosomal RNA is filed under the name Ephemerella sp. MK-2010. RNAcentral's name for it is "bacterial SSU rRNA". It matches the Rfam family "Eukaryotic small subunit ribosomal RNA", at positions 620 to 1119 of the family's 1831-position model. Lineage: Eukaryota; Metazoa; Arthropoda; Insecta; Ephemeroptera; Ephemerellidae. The record is from RNAcentral. RNAcentral also lists the same sequence under 1 other name.